GUGCGAGACCGAUAGCGAACAAGUACCGUGAGGAAAAGAUGAAAAGAACUUUGAAAAGAGAGUUAAAGAGUACCUGAAACUGCUGAAAGGGAAGCGAAUCGUAUCCAGUGUCUAUAAUCUGCGGCAUAUUUCAUUGGCGGCAGUGUGCGUGCUUUUGCGUCGGAAGCGGCUUUUGUUGCUCUGUGCUUUUGCUGUGCGUGCUGUUGCUGGUGCCCUGUGUUGCGGUGGGACGUCAGAGUCAGUUCGUAUGCUGCGGGAAAUGGCCGCCGAGGAGGUAGGUCAGGACUUCGGUCUUGGCUGUUAUAUCUUGGUGGUUUGUCGUCGUGGUUGGGACUGAGGUGCCUACAAUGUGCUUUUGAGUGUGCCGGGUUCUCAUUUGGUGGACUGUUUGGAUAGCUUGCUAUGCUUGUGGUUUUUUCAUCGAGUGAUUGAGUCUGGUGGUAACUUGUUGCUGUUCGGGACUUUGA
This 467-nucleotide ribosomal RNA is filed under the name uncultured Oomycota. Its description in RNAcentral is "LSU rRNA". It matches the Rfam family "Eukaryotic large subunit ribosomal RNA", at positions 326 to 629 of the family's 3401-position model. The record is from RNAcentral. Lineage: Eukaryota; Oomycota.